GACGAACGCUGGCGGCGUGCUUAACACAUGCAAGUCGAGCGGUAAGGCCCCUUCGGGGGUACACGAGCGGCGAACGGGUGAGUAACACGUGAGCAAUCUGCCCUUCACUUUGGGAUAACUCUGGGAAACGAGAGCUAAUACCGAAUACGACCACUUCAGGCAUCUGAUGGUGGUGGAAAGUUCCGGCGGUGAAGGAUGAGCUCGCGGCCUAUCAGCUAGUUGGUGGAGUAACGGCCCACCAAGGCUUCGACGGGUAGCCGGCCUGAGAGGGUGACCGGCCACACUGGGACUGAGACACGGCCCAGACUCCUACGGGGGCAGCAAUUAGGAAUCUUGCGCAAUGGGGGAAACCCUGACGCAGCGACGCCGCGUGAGCGAUGAAGUCUUUCGGGAUGUAAAGCUCUGUCCUGUGGGGAAGAAGAAUGUGACGGUACCCACAGAGAAAGCCCCGGUAACUACGUGCCAGCAGCCGCGGUGAGCAUACUCGUA
RNAcentral lists this ribosomal RNA (489 nucleotides) under uncultured bacterium. Its description in RNAcentral is "bacterial SSU rRNA". It matches the Rfam family "Bacterial small subunit ribosomal RNA", at positions 28 to 529 of the family's 1533-position model. The record is from RNAcentral.